This 729-nucleotide ribosomal RNA is filed under the name Clostridioides difficile. RNAcentral describes it as "partial 23S ribosomal RNA". It matches the Rfam family "Bacterial large subunit ribosomal RNA", at positions 1918 to 2645 of the family's 2925-position model. The record is from RNAcentral. Lineage: Bacteria; Bacillati; Bacillota; Clostridia; Peptostreptococcales; Peptostreptococcaceae.
CCCCAGUAAACGGCGGCCGUAACUAUAACGGUCCUAAGGUAGCGAAAUUCCUUGUCGGGUAAGUUCCGACCCGCACGAAAGGCGUAACGAUUUGGGCACUGUCUCAACAACAGACUCGGUGAAAUUGUAAUUCCGGUGAAGAUGCCGGAUACCUGCGACAGGACGGAAAGACCCCAUGGAGCUUUACUGUAGCUUGACAUUGGGUCUUGGUACUACAUGUACAGGAUAGGUGGGAGGCUUUGAAACCAGGACGCCAGUUUUGGCGGAGCCAUCCUUGGGAUACCACCCUUGUAGUACUGGGACUCUAACCAUAGGCCAUGAAUCUGGUCUUGGGACACUGUCAGGUGGGCAGUUUGACUGGGGCGGUCGCCUCCCAAAAGGUAACGGAGGCGCUCAAAGGUUCUCUCAGUACGGUCGGAAAUCGUACGUAGAGUGUAAAGGCAAAAGAGAGCUUGAUUGCAAGACAUACAGGUCGAGCAAGGAUGAAAAUCGGACUUAGUGAUCCGGUGGUUCUGCGUGGAAGGGCCAUCGCUCAACGGAUAAAAGCUACCCUGGGGAUAACAGGCUUAUCUCCCCCAAGAGUCCACAUCGACGGGGAGGUUUGGCACCUCGAUGUCGGCUCAUCACAUCCUGGGGCUGUAGUAGGUCCCAAGGGUUGGGCUGUUCGCCCAUUAAAGUGGUACGCGAGCUGGGUUCAGAACGUCGUGAGACAGUUCGGUCCCUAUCCGU